RNAcentral lists this non-coding RNA (21 nucleotides) under Caenorhabditis elegans. The record is from RNAcentral. Lineage: Eukaryota; Metazoa; Nematoda; Chromadorea; Rhabditida; Rhabditidae.
UUUUGCACGCACUGUUACUGA